This 301-nucleotide ribosomal RNA is filed under the name uncultured bacterium. RNAcentral's name for it is "partial 16S ribosomal RNA". It matches the Rfam family "Bacterial small subunit ribosomal RNA", at positions 509 to 809 of the family's 1533-position model. The record is from RNAcentral.
CAGCCGCCGCGGGAAUACAGAGGGUGCGAGCGUUAAUCGGAUUUACUGGGCGUAAAGCGUGCGUAGGCGGCUUUUUAAGUCGGAUGUGAAAUCCCUGAGCUUAACUUAGGAAUUGCAUUCGAUACUGGGAAGCUAGAGUAUGGGAGAGGAUGGUAGAAUUCCAGGUGUAGCGGUGAAAUGCGUAGAGAUCUGGAGGAAUACCGAUGGCGAAGGCAGCCAUCUGGCCUAAUACUGACGCUGAGGUACGAAAGCAUGGGGAGCAAACAGGAUUAGAUACCCCGGUAGUCCCUGUCUCUUAUAA